This 483-nucleotide ribosomal RNA is filed under the name uncultured bacterium. RNAcentral describes it as "bacterial SSU rRNA". It matches the Rfam family "Bacterial small subunit ribosomal RNA", at positions 29 to 487 of the family's 1533-position model. The record is from RNAcentral.
AACUAACGCUGGCGGCGUGCCUAACACAUGCAAGUCGUACGAGAAAGCCGGCUUCGGCUGGUGAGUAAAGUGGCGCACGGGUGAGUAACGCGUGGAUAAUCUGCCCUUAAGUGUGGAGUAACGUACCGAAAGGUGCGCUAAUACCGCAUAAUGCCUGGCAACACAAGUUGUCCGGCCAAAGAAGGCCUCUGUUUACAAGCUUUCGCUUCAGGAUGAGUCCGCGUACCAUUAGCUUGUUGGUGGGGUAAUGGCCUACCAAGGCUGCGAUGGUUAGCUGGUCUGAGAGGAUGAUCAGCCACACUGGAACUGAGACACGGUCCAGACUCCUACGGGAGGCAGCAGUGAGGAAUAUUGCGCAAUGGGGGCAACCCUGACGCAGCAACGCCGCGUGAGUGAGGAAGGUUUUCGGACUGUAAAGCUCUGUCGAGCGGGAAGAAGUGUACCAUGGCUAAUAUCCAUGAUAUUUGACGGUACCGCUAGAGG